RNAcentral lists this ribosomal RNA (447 nucleotides) under uncultured bacterium. RNAcentral's name for it is "bacterial SSU rRNA". It matches the Rfam family "Bacterial small subunit ribosomal RNA", at positions 28 to 477 of the family's 1533-position model. The record is from RNAcentral.
GAUGAACGCUGGCGGCGUGCUUAACACAUGCAAGUCGAGCGAAGCACUUUCGAUGAUCCUUCGGGUGAUUUGAUUGUGACUGAGCGGCGGACGGGUGAGUAACGCGUGAGUAACCUGCCUCAUACAGGGGAAUAACAGUUAGAAAUGACUGCUAAUGCCGCAUAAGCGCACAGGGCCGCAUGGCCCGGUGUGAAAAACUCCGGUGGUAUGAGAUGGACUCGCGUCUGAUUAGCUAGUUGGCAGGGUAACGGCCUACCAAGGCGACGAUCAGUAGCCGGCCUGAGAGGGUGAACGGCCACAUUGGGACUGAGACACGGCCCAAACUCCUACGGGAGGCAGCAGUGGGGAAUAUUGCACAAUGGGGGAAACCCUGAUGCAGCGACGCCGCGUGAGUGAAGAAGUAUUUCGGUAUGUAAAGCUCUAUCAGCAGGGAAGAAAAUGACGGUA